RNAcentral lists this ribosomal RNA (303 nucleotides) under uncultured bacterium. RNAcentral's name for it is "partial 16S ribosomal RNA". It matches the Rfam family "Bacterial small subunit ribosomal RNA", at positions 507 to 809 of the family's 1533-position model. The record is from RNAcentral.
AGCAGUAGCCGCGGGAAUACGAAGGGGGCUAGCGUUGUUCGGAAUUACUGGGCGUAAAGCGCACGUAGGCGGAUAUUUAAGUCAGGGGUGAAAUCCCGCAGCUCAACUGCGGAACUGCCUUUGAUACUGGGUAUCUUGAGUAUGGAAGAGGUUAGUGGAAUUGCGAGUGUAGAGGUGAAAUUCGUAGAUAUUCGCAGGAACACCAGUGGCGAAGGCGGCUAACUGGUCCAUAACUGACGCUGAGGUGCGAAAGCGUGGGGAGCAAACAGGAUUAGAUACCCCUGUAGUCCCUGUCUCUUAUAA